This 476-nucleotide ribosomal RNA is filed under the name uncultured bacterium. Its description in RNAcentral is "bacterial SSU rRNA". It matches the Rfam family "Bacterial small subunit ribosomal RNA", at positions 25 to 518 of the family's 1533-position model. The record is from RNAcentral.
CAGGACGAACGCUGGCGGCGUGCUUAACACAUGCAAGUCGAGCGAUGAAGCUUCUCGGAAGUGGAUUAGCGGCGGACGGGUGAGUAACACGUGGGUAACCUGCCUCAUAGAGGGGAAUAGCCUUCCGAAAGGAAGAUUAAUACCGCAUAAGAUUGCAAUAUCGCAUGAUAUAGCAAUUAAAGGAGUAAUCCGCUAUGAGAUGGACCCGCGUCGCAUUAGCUAGUUGGUGAGGUAACGGCUCACCAAGGCGACGAUGCGUAGCCGACCUGAGAGGGUGAUCGGCCACAUUGGGACUGAGACACGGCCCAGACUCCUACGGGAGGCAGCAGUGGGGAAUAUUGCACAAUGGGGGAAACCCUGAUGCAGCCAACGCCGCGUGAGUGAUGACGGUCUUCGGAUUGUAAAGCUCUGUCUUCAGGGACGAUAAUGACGGUACCUGAGGAGGAAGCCACGGCUAACUACGUGCCAGCCGCAGC